CAGCUAUGAAGUCUGUGAAUCCUGGGAGAAUCAGGAAGUCGUCGUAGGUGAGGCAGUCGGCGCUGGCAAAGAGCUGCUGCGCGGGGAGCCAGUUAUCGGGCACAUAGUCGGUGCCGCCCCUGAUCAGACUGGUGCACAAAGACUCCAUCUAACAGCUACCCGUAUUUCCUGACAGUGACUCUGAAAGGAAGCUGUUCCUGUGCAGUUUGCUCUCCUGGAUUUCUCCCAAGGGACUACUGUCAUGGAACAGAAUUCCACUCAGG
This 263-nucleotide long non-coding RNA is filed under the name Homo sapiens (human). Its description in RNAcentral is "HSALNT0044657". The record is from RNAcentral. Lineage: Eukaryota; Metazoa; Chordata; Mammalia; Primates; Hominidae.